This is a long non-coding RNA of Papio anubis (olive baboon), 828 nucleotides long. Lineage: Eukaryota; Metazoa; Chordata; Mammalia; Primates; Cercopithecidae. The record is from Ensembl.
GUGAUGAGAAACGUCCACACUCCUAAUGUCUUGCCUCCUCUAAGUCGCCGGACACACAGCCCAACUUCCCUGGCAAACUUGCUUUUCAAACUCUCUUCUCCAUCUCAGUCAGGGACUCAGGUUCUGUAGUGCUGCCAUGCUUUACUCCUCUGUCCCUCCCCUUAUCUAGUCUCCCGCAUUGACUUUAUAAGCAAGUUUUGAGUCCCUGCCUCUGGAGUGCCUGAUGAGACAAAACUGCUCCUCGUCCUGCCUCCCCGCUGCUACUUCCAGAACUCAGGGCUCGUGGUCUGGAGCCUGCACUGUUCCAUGAGCCUCCUGACCAACCUGGAAGCCUCUGUCUUUCCUCCCUCAGUGAGAUGCACCUACUUCUCCCUGGAGAAGCUCGAGGAAGCAGGAAUACUGAAGAUGAGGUCAGGUCGGCCUUCACCUCCCCAGGCCCGUCCUGCUCCUGCCUUCCCCUGUGGGGCCCUCCGUGGAUGCUCUGGAGCCCCAGGCAAUAGCCAACUAGACCACAUCUGCUCAGGGGUUUAUUCUUCCGUCUGUUUGCAGGGCUGUUUUGGACUCAGUAUUCACCUAAGCACUCCAAACUACAACUGCCAGGGGCAUGAAGGGGAUGUGCUUCCAGGGCAUUUGCUGGCAGGGUGUCUCGUGAUCUCUUGGUAUUGGUGUGAGCACAGCCUGGCAGGAGAGGGCAGAUCUCAGUGCAAAGUAUCAUGUCAAAAAGCAGAUCGAAGCCAGGCCCCCUCCUGGAAGAGGCUCCUUGAAGGUAGGUGCACACUCAUGUCUUUGUUACUUGUAAGGGGGCAUCUUACAGGCAAGAGGAGUUAG